This is a long non-coding RNA of Gallus gallus (chicken), 2482 nucleotides long. NCBI's taxonomy places the organism in Eukaryota, Metazoa, Chordata, Aves, Galliformes, Phasianidae. The record is from Ensembl.
UCAACUGGGGAUACAGGCACAGAAUGACUCCUUUCACUUCGGAAAAGAGGUCUCGCUGGGCAGAUGCUCUCUGGCCAGAAGACAAGCCUCCUGUUGAGUUAAAGGACAUGAAAUCUUCAAGACACGCAAAAAUAUUUCCAUUCACAAGUUACCUCCUGAUAAUGAAAUAACGGCCUAACAAUGAUCCACCUCCAUUUUGGAAAUCCAAAGAUGAGUCAAAAUGAGUCACAGGUUCUUCUAUCAACAAACUGAAUUUAGUGUAUCCUUGAACCCUCCAGUGGUUUGAAUGUUUUUUGGUCAAAUGUCUGUGUAAAGGUAGUUCUGUGUUUCAGUAACAACCUUCCUGUCCAUCCACUGUUACUGGCUUGUGGUUUCUGAUGCUUCGUGAUUUUCAUAUUAAAAAAGAAAAUGUUACUGUGGAGAUGGGCUGUAUCUCAGUGAACAGAAGUUCUUUUCCAGAAGUUUUAUGAUCUCUGGACCAAUCUCAUGACCCGCUGUGUUCUGCCUCUUGACUUCUUACUGUUUGGCGUUCUGAGCAUUCCCCAGUCUCUUUGCAGCGCGUGAGCAGGUAGCCCAGCACCACCAAAGUUAGAGUUCCAACUCUGGAAAGAUUCGGGAUUUUUCUGUAAGGAUGGGAUGGUGAUUCAUUCAGAGCUCUCACAAGACUAUCAUGCAGCUGCCCCUGUUUCAAAAUCAGCAGCCGCGCCAGCUCGUCUCCAUCAGCCUUGAGAAAACAGGAAACACAACGGUCACCACAGGAAGUGGUGUGCUCUUACACACACCCCAGAAAACUUAGCUGCUGAACCUAUUGCAAAAUGUUAACAGAACACUGUAGGGUACACAGAGAAAGAGACGAGAAAUCUGCUGACUUCUGGGUGCCUGCAAUUCUAAUCUUCAGUUUCUGAGGCCUAGAGUUUAACUCAGUCAUCAACAUGUCCUGUGUUUUUCAGUUACAGCAGCUUCAAUCCCCUUCAGUAGGACGCUGUUAUCGGAACAAAUAUUUCUUCUCAGUUAUUUUGUUUCGUCCCCAAAACUUGUACAGAAGGGCAGCCAGUAGCUUCUUGUCUGUAGGGCUGACAGGCAAAGAUAGAUAGAAAUAGAAAAGAUGGAGACGACUAUGUUUUAUUCAUCAUGAUUAACUGUGUACUCAUUUCCUUGGUAACGUGGAAGAAAUUGGUGUUUUUAGGGUGGAGAUAUGUAUGCAGACCUUGUGAUUCAGAUGUUUUUCUUAUUAAGUAAGAUAACUUGUUUCUCACUGUCUUGGUUGCAAAGAAAAGGCUGAACCAUAACAUUGCAGAGAAUAGAAGUACCCUAUGUAUGUUAAGGAGGAAUUGCUCUGAGUUGGAAGCACCAUUCCUUGAGGGUGCUGUGGGACAUGGACAUGACUGAAAGAGAAGAACAGGGUAUUCCACACAAGAGGCAGAAGAAAUGAGAGAUACAAUACACAAAAAAGACUUGCAGUUUGAGGUUUUCUAUUGUGCUUGGUUACAACAAAUGAUCUUAAAAAUUUCUUCUCCAAAUUCAAAGGGGAACAAAUCCUCAUUAAGUGCUGGUUGCUGGGCAAGUAAAAUUUUAGUAGGGGCCUUCAAAUUAAAUACAUUUGUAUUUAAUUAGUAUUUAAGAAUUUAAAUAAUUUAAUUUGUAUUUAAGAAGCUGUAAAAGAAGUGCAAUAAUACAUGGCAGGAGAGGAUCAGAAAUGGAAGGUGAUGCUAGGCAUUAUUUUUCUGCUAGAUGUUCCUUUUGUCCAGUAAAUGGGCAGUUUGGGACUUUGUCCUGGAAAUAAAUUAUUUGCAAAUUCUUGUUAAGUUCUCUGAAUUAUUUAGGUUGAGCAGUAGAGGCUGUUGAAAGCUGGGUUAUUUGUUUGUUUGUUUGUUUGUUUGUUUCAAAAUUUGAAGUGAAAAAGUUUUUAACUUUUACUUGAAAGUAACGUUUCAUUCAACUAUUCAACUAUUUUGAAUUGUGAAAAUGAUUUAGGGUGAAGGUGAAUUAUCUACCCUUCCUGGUUUGGUUUUUUGUUUGUUUGUUUUAAAAAUUCUUAAAAAAUAAAAAUCAGCCAGUAACAGUCAAAUUAUUCCCCCAGCUCUAACCAAAGAGAAAUAGAAAGUUCAGAUUCCUGAAAUCUGGUCUUCACAAGUACAAAAAACAAGGAAUAUUAAUAGCUAUAUUGAAAGAGUGCUAAAAGUCCUACAGAGAAAGUGAAUAAAAGUAUGAAGACAGUGUCAUCAGAACAUUAGAGGAAUCUUUCUCGGAAGUUAGCUUGGAUUUACUCAAACAGCAAAAUUACAUGCAAUAUCUUUAAGCAAUCUUGUUUGGACGUGAAUUACAGACAGAUAAGACAGGCAGCAAGGAUUAAUGCUAUGUCCAUCUCUUUGGCUGUUAGUGUAAUGUCCUAAGUAUCUGCAUUGUCUGCCUUGUUUCAAGUGGUCUUAUUCUAUGAUAAUGGAAAUACAGUUCUACCAAAAAUAAACUGAAUAUUUUACUG